UGGGCUGUAAGAUUUAUCUGUUACUUCUUAACAUAUAAUUUGUACACCUGUCUAGGAUUUAACUUGGAAAAGAUUUUUCAAAACUUGGUACGAUUAUAUAAAAUGUGUGCUUAUGACCAUAGCUGGUAGGCAUGUGAGAUGGUAAGGCAUUUCCGCAGAGCAGAGGUUCAUAAAAGCUUUAUCAUGCAUCAGAGCUAUCCGGAAGGCUUUUUAAAACACAGAUUGCUCAGCUGGGCGCAGUAGGGUGCGCCUGUAGUCCUAGCUACUUGGGAGGCUGAGGCAGAAGGAUCUUUUGAGCCCUGGAGUUUGAGGCUACAGCAUGCUAUGAUUGUGCCUGUGAAUAGCCACUGCACUCCAGCCUGGGCGGCCUAGCAAGACCCUGUCUCUAAAACAAUAACAUCAACUAAAACAAAAACCACGCAGAUUGCUGGACCCCAACCUAGAGUUUCUGAUCCAGUAGUAUUGGGGUGGGGCCUGAGAAUUUGCAUUUCUGACAAGUCCCCAGAUGAUGUUGAUCCUUAUUCUCCUGGCCCAUAGACCACUUAAUUAAAGCCAGCAAAGUAGUCAUCAACGUUGACCCAGGAUAUAAGCUGAAGAUGAUGAACAGCCUUGAGGCAGUAAGGGAGGCCUGCCCUCCAACAUCAGGAAGCCAAGUGAAGGCGUGACUCACCAGGGCAGGGUGGGGUUCCUGCGUGUGAGAAACCAGAAUUGAGAGCUGCACCAGCUGUGUGGCCCCAGGUUUCUCAGGGUGAGGAGAGGCAGCCCAGGGGAAAGGCACUCGGGACCACACCCCAACUCACCUACCCUGUAUAAUAAAAGAAGGCGUGCAAGAAGAUCUAUAUGCAGUGACGUGCAAAGGUAUCAAGAACAAGUUGCGAAACCCCAUGGUAUGAUUUCAUCUGAUUAAAAGAAAAAAGGUGGUAGGUGCUGAAUGGUUGAAUAAAUGAACAGUCCUAAAAUGGAUAUAUUUUGGGGCAACAGUAAGUUGCCCCCAGGAAGAAAAUCACUUUUGGAAAAUAAAACUGGCAAGAAUCUAUGCUAAAUGGAUGAGACCAGCCACAGAAGCACUUCAUCCUAAAAGAUGGCAGAUCCCUACCUCUCCUCCCUUAGGGGAGGACGAAGGUGUCCCAGCCAAGGAAGAUCCUGGUCUCCAAGGGCUGUACCCUACUGAUCCGGAGGCAAAGCAGUGAGGGCCCACCCCAAUUCCUCACCUCCCAUUCUACUCUUCGGCAGAAGCAUCUCAGUGUUGGAAAGAUAAGGAUUUCUUCCUAAAAAGGAAGGAUUACACUAUAUCAGAGUCUGAAGAUACAGUUUUCAUUUGCAACGCAAGGGAAUUCCUUUGAAUCUCUACCUUAUGAUUUCCCUGCAAACCCACUCCGAUGGGGCUGGAGAGUGCUCUCUCACUCAGAUGAAUCUCUCAG
Molecule: long non-coding RNA, 1421 nt
Filed under: Homo sapiens (human)
Lineage: Eukaryota; Metazoa; Chordata; Mammalia; Primates; Hominidae
Description: HSALNT0037931
Source: RNAcentral